Acanthosepion pharaonis is the source of this 113-nucleotide non-coding RNA. The record is from the annotation of a GenBank genome assembly. Lineage: Eukaryota; Metazoa; Mollusca; Cephalopoda; Sepiida; Sepiidae.
UUACGACCAUGUCACAUCGAAACACCGGUUUUCGUCCGAUCGCCGAGGUUAAGCAACGUCGAGCCUGGUCAGUACCUAUAUGGGUGACCGCUUGGGAAUACCAUGUGCUGUAA